This 2563-nucleotide long non-coding RNA is filed under the name Eptatretus burgeri (inshore hagfish). RNAcentral's name for it is "lncRNA (ENSEBUG00000017138.1)". Lineage: Eukaryota; Metazoa; Chordata; Myxini; Myxiniformes; Myxinidae. The record is from RNAcentral.
UAUAUAUAUAUAUAUAUAUACACACAAUUAUUGAAUAACAUAAUGGUAUGGUACUCGGAGGAUACCCAAUCUUGGAGCAAAAGUGCCUGUACUGAGAUCUUCGUCAGAAACGUCGAAUACUGCAUGUCAUUCGUAACCUUGACUGUAUUUUGCAGCUCUGUCGUGUCGCUUGUUUCUCAAAGAACAAUAUGCUGUUCCUUGAAUAGAUAUUCUGUGCAGUCUUGUGAAGAACUUGAUGCGAGCCAACUCUUGUUUUUUUUUUCAGUGGGUUUUUUGUGGGGUUUUUUCUCCUUCCUUUGAUCCAAUAUGGCUGCCAUGGCUGCCAUGGCUGCUAGACCGCGUGACACCUGAUGGUCCUUUUUAUGAAAAUCCUCUUCAAAUUUCAAGUCAAUCAGAUGAAAAUUGACUUUUAUUGAUUUUUGCCUCUGCUGACCUCAAAAGUAUGUGUGUGGUGUGUGUGUUUUAGAAUGUGGAAUGGAAACCUCACAGGGUGGGCUCUAAGUAUCCACCUGCAUUACCUCCUCCACCGAAGGCCAAACGGUGAAGCAAUGGCCCCACCCGAGGGCACAAGCUGUGAUUUUGUGGCCUGGCUGUGUGAGCAAGAUGUGGACAAUGAAACCGCUUCGAUGGUCAUCAACGAUCUUGGCAUCAACAGCUUUGAGCUUCUGCGCUCCAGCACAGAGACCCCACAGCUCCGUGCGGAGUUUUUCGCACUCAUCAAGGGGCGGCUACCUUUCGCGCGUUACGCCAUGAUGCGCCGUGUCGUUGAGGUGCACGGGGUCAGCCUGAACGAACCUCUACUCUCGACUCCGAUGGCAGAACUAUCCGACGAUCAAAGCAGACAGCAGGCACUCAAUGCUGUUAUUCCUGAGGUUUUGAUAAAUUACUUGGAAAGGGCGUCAAAGGAGAUGCAUAAUUGCUCGAGACUGCUCAAGGAAUAUCAUGGGAUUGUUGAUCAAUCUUCGGCACCAAAUGUGUCAGCUGAAUGCUUUGAGGAAGACCAUGCUCCCAAGCGUUAUGAAGUAAAUGCUGCCCCAACAGCCCAAGAGGAAAUCAAAAAUGGUGAUUGAAGCAAGAAUUGACAAUUGUGUGGUGGAUAGGAGAAUUUGUUUGGGUUUGGUGCACUUUGUUGUUUCUUCUUCUUUUAUGUACAGGUGGGAUUAUGAAUGAUUUUAAAACUUCAAGAUCACUGCUGAAACGAUCUUUAUUUUUUUUUUUUAUUGAGUAAUUUGCAUCCUGAGACUCAAAAGCAUAUGAAAUGUUCCUUUGUUAGUCAUCAUGUUCCCUUUUUCAUGCAGUUAUUGGUUAGAACUGUUUUUAUUUUUUCUUUAAUUGUAUUAUGAAAACUUUUUUUUGGCAAAAGUUUGUAGCAUGAUGGCAUUAUCAUUUCUCUUUUGCACAACACACACCACACACACACACACACACACACACACACACAACACACACACACACACACGCUUGGCCAAUAUUGGGAAUCGGCUGAUUGGAGUCGGGGUGAUUACCGACUGCAAUACGUACUGCAUACAACUCGAAAACCUCGAGUGGCUUCACCCUUGUUUUGGGGGAAUUUAAAUCAACAAAUUAAAAAAAUCGUUGCAUUUUCAAUGUUUUAAGGAGAUGUGCAUAAACAUUAAUAUUUAUAAACAUCUGGCAAGCAUCACGUGAUUGGUAGAAAAUAAUUUUUAGCUCUGUAACUUAGAAAACACGUUGUAUAAUAUGGCAAACGGCUUGGAAAUCGGUUGUUGUGAAAUGUAUUUUGCUUUGAAACUCAGAGAAACCACAUAACCUUUCGAAAUCCCAUCAUCAUCAAAAGAUACGGGAUGAAACUUUGCCACCACGGCACCUGUAACUAAGCAUGCAGGCAUGCGCACACACACCCGCGGAGACUCCCUUUACAAAUCCAAAUGUACCCAUAUGUACCACGUUCCUUGUGGCAACUGCCAACUGUACAUCCUGUUUGGGACACGAACUGUACCACUAUAAACUAUAGGGUGCUUGGCAAGCGGCUUAAGCACUCAAGCAAGCACUGAUUAAAUGAAUGGUUGGCUUGGCAAGCGAUAGAAAGCUGAUUGGUAAUGGCACUUACCCGCAAAAACUAAACAUCACCGAUUUCUUGACAUUUUCAGAUUUCACUCCAGAUUUUGAGUUAUUUAAUCCACUUGAUGCGAUCCUCAAAACUCAAAUUAUGUUGAACAGCUUGCUUGGCGAUCGCUUGUUCCCAUCAUGUUGAACUUCUCUCGGAGAUGCCAGAAAUGUCAAAUAUGUUUGAAUUGGAUAAAUGAACGCUUUCUUUUUUAUUUUAUUUUUAGCAGUCGGAACUGCUGCUAAGUUCAAUUCUGGAGCUUAAAUUUUGUAAUCCGGCUUAAUUUAAGAGGUUCUCGAGGUUAUGGCAUGUGCAGAAAUGAAAUAAAGGCACGAACGCUGGCAUCUCUGGGCAUUUAUAAGCAAUGUAAUGUAUCCAGCGAUGCCGUAGAUAUGAUGAUUCAGAAUUGGUUAAUAUGAAUGAGAAAGUGGAAAAACAAACCCCCCCCCCCCCCCCCCCCCCCCCCCCCCCCCCCCC